AUAAAAAAGCAAAAAAAAA
Molecule: small RNA, 19 nt
Filed under: Arabidopsis thaliana (thale cress)
Lineage: Eukaryota; Viridiplantae; Streptophyta; Magnoliopsida; Brassicales; Brassicaceae
Description: ATSL231060
Source: RNAcentral